GGUGCUGAUCCAAUGAAUUGGGCUGGGUUGAUGUCCCAGAUUUAGGGAGGUUUACUCCUCAGUGCUU
RNAcentral lists this transfer RNA (67 nucleotides) under Anadara pilula. RNAcentral describes it as "tRNA-Ile". Lineage: Eukaryota; Metazoa; Mollusca; Bivalvia; Arcoida; Arcidae. The record is from RNAcentral.